UAUCCAUCCCUGAACUCCAGGAUUAUCAGCUGGAGUCAUAGCAAGAGUUGCUGGGGUGCUGUUAUUGGCAGUUUGCAUAUAUGUUGGAGUUUACAAGAAGAAGAAAGUGCAGGACAAAAUAUUGCUUUCUGCAAGAUCUGAACAUCAAUCAAUUCAAGCUGCAAGGGGUAGGACCUGCUCCUGCUCUAAUUAAGGCUGAGGUGCCAUGGUCAGCUCGAAGGGGAACCUUCUCUAAUAAGGAUCGUGUUUUGAAGACAGUGAAAGGGUAAUUUAUUCUGAAGAUAUUUGUAUGAUUUCCUGACACCUGUGCAAUCAAGUGAUUAUCACUUGCUAUAUUGUAUGGAUCCUUUGAAUGUUUAGU
Camellia sinensis is the source of this 361-nucleotide non-coding RNA. Lineage: Eukaryota; Viridiplantae; Streptophyta; Magnoliopsida; Ericales; Theaceae. The record is from RefSeq and is a predicted model, not a curated record.